RNAcentral lists this ribosomal RNA (482 nucleotides) under uncultured bacterium. RNAcentral's name for it is "partial 16S ribosomal RNA". It matches the Rfam family "Bacterial small subunit ribosomal RNA", at positions 28 to 507 of the family's 1533-position model. The record is from RNAcentral.
GAUGAACGCUAGCGGCAGGCCUAAUACAUGCAAGUCGAACGAGAUUAAGAGGCUUGCUUCUUAUGAAAGUGGCGCACGGGUGCGUAACGCGUAUGCAACCUACCUUAAUCAGGGGGAUAGCCCGAAGAAAUUCGGAUUAAGACCGCAUAAAAACACAGGAUAGCAUUAUCCAAUGUUCAAAUAUUUAUAGGAUUAAGAUGGGCAUGCGUGUCAUUAGCUAGUUGGCGGGGUAACGGCCCACCAAGGCGACGAUGACUAGGGGAUCUGAGAGGAUGACCCCCCACACUGGUACUGAGACACGGACCAGACGCCUACGGGAGGCAGCAGUAAGGAAUAUUGGUCAAUGGAGGGAACUCUGAACCAGCCAUGCCGCGUGCAGGAAGACAGCCCUCUGGGUCGUAAACUGCUUUUAUUCGGGAAUAAACCUUUCUACGUGUAGGAAGCUGAAUGUACCGAAGGAAUAAGGAUCGGCUAACUCCGUG